RNAcentral lists this ribosomal RNA (462 nucleotides) under uncultured Gammaproteobacteria bacterium. RNAcentral describes it as "bacterial SSU rRNA". It matches the Rfam family "Bacterial small subunit ribosomal RNA", at positions 9 to 471 of the family's 1533-position model. Lineage: Bacteria; Pseudomonadati; Pseudomonadota; Gammaproteobacteria. The record is from RNAcentral. RNAcentral also lists the same sequence under 1 other name.
GAGUUUGAUCGUGGCUCAGAUUGAACGCUGGCGGCAGGCCUAACACAUGCAAGUCGAGCGGAUGAAGAGAGCUUGCUCUCUGAUUCAGCGGCGGACGGGUGAGUAAUGCCUAGGAAUCUGCCUGAUAGUGGGGGACAACGUUUCGAAAGGAACGCUAAUACCGCAUACGUCCUACGGGAGAAAGCAGGGGACCUUCGGGCCUUGCGCUAUCAGAUGAGCCUAGGUCGGAUUAGCUAGUAGGUGAGGUAAAGGCUCACCUAGGCGACGAUCCGUAACUGGUCUGAGAGGAUGAUCAGUCACACUGGAACUGAGACACGGUCCAGACUCCUACGGGAGGCAGCAGUGGGGAAUAUUGGACAAUGGGCGAAAGCCUGAUCCAGCCAUGCCGCGUGUGUGAAGAAGGUCUUCGGAUUGUAAAGCACUUUAAGUUGGGAGGAAGGGCAGUAAGUUAAUACCUUGCUG